Misgurnus anguillicaudatus (oriental weatherfish) is the source of this 653-nucleotide non-coding RNA. The record is from RefSeq and is a predicted model, not a curated record. Lineage: Eukaryota; Metazoa; Chordata; Actinopteri; Cypriniformes; Cobitidae.
ACAAAACUGCCUACAAAUAAUUUUAUGUCACAAAAUUAAAAAUUUAUUAAAUAAAAUCACACGUUUGACAUAUUUAUUUGUACUUUAUAUGAUGUUAUAAAGCAAAUUUUUGUAAGGUUAUAUAUCUAAUAUUCAAAUUCCUUAAUCAACAGAAAUUAGGUUUCUGUUUGCGAAAUUUAAAUUGAUGAAAAUGAAACUUUACCAACAUAACGCAUAAUCGUUCACAUUUUUAUUUAUUCAUAUUUAAAAAACUAUCAAAUUUACAUUUAAUGAAGCAAAACUACAUAAUUUAUAUAGAAACCUCCCACCAAAAUAUUUUUGUACAUCGAUGGCAGAAAACAUGAGGUAGCUUCUAGUUGACAAAAAGUUUACACCCAUGCCUUUGUUAAACCUGGAUAAACAGUUUUCUGUGCAGCGUUUAUAAUUAAAUUUAUUUUUGGUAAUAUGACAUAUUUAUUAGGUAUCAGCCAAACAUGUCUCCAGGUAAUAGAUACAAGAAAUUUAAACCAAUAGAUACGUCUCUUCUUCUUGAAAAAGAGAGCAUAUCAUUUUAUUUUGGGGUUUCUUUUAAAAAAUUACAACAAAAUGGCCAGACUAAGAAAACGUAAGAGUAAGCAAUACCUCUAUAAAUAUAGGUAGCACCAAUUACAGGG